UGAUAAAAGGCAUUGUCAUUUUGGUAAUUUAAAAACUCAUUUAAUUUUUUUUUGUACUUUAAAAUUUUUUCUUAACUUUUUGUGUUGGUCUAAUUUCAAACUUACAGAAAUUUGCAAAAAUAGUACAGGUAACUCCCGUAAGUCCUUUAUCCACAUUCGCCAAUCAUUAACAUUUGACCUAUUUGCAUUAUCAUUCUUGUGUGUGUGUGUGUGUGUGUAGAAAAAGAGAAGACAUUCGUCUUUACUCCUUUUCUGAGUAGAUUUCCUAAGAAUGUGUCCUGCUUGUCCAUGGCCACAAUACACAAUCAAGGGAUGUAAUGUUGAUAUAACACUAUUCUCCACAGUCUGUUUUUGUUUUCUUUAAAACCUCACUUGAAAAAGCAGAUGUGGGACCAAGAUGAUAAAUGUACAUCACAGCCUAAUUAGGCCACUUGUUCACCUGGUGACCUCGCUGGAGACAUUCUUCAAAGCUCAGCUCUAUCUAGACUCCCCUACAAGCCGGUGCCGGCUGCUCUCCCAACCACGCAGAAAUCCUCUCUCUGCCCGGCAGCCCUCUGUGCAGACCGCGCUGAUAGUCCUUCAUAUCGUAUAGCAGCAAUUCACAGUGUGUCUCCACACUGCACUGUGAACUUCUCAGGGUUCCGGGGCCCACGUGGAUAAAUGACAGGUAUUUGGUGUUUAGGAAAUGUUUGCUAAAAAAGUGAGUAAAUAGACAAAUGGAAGCCUCUGGUGAGUUGAACUUCGUGAAGAGUUAGGUGGUUGUUCUUUUAAUCUAUUAGAUGAAGGUUCAGCGCUACGCAGUACAGUGGGUGAAAUUAUACAAUCAUUUUUAAGAACAUCUUAGGGCAAGCAAAAAAAUGAUACAUGGGAUCUUGGCUCCUGCCUUACUGCCACUCCCUCAAACCUUUUUCUCCUCCCUCUGUCCCAAAAUAUAGUAACUGCUGAAAGAAUACAGUUAUGUGCAGGGGACGUGUAUAGACUAGACUCUCAGCAGAGCAGAGCCUGUGAGCCUAAGAACGCAGCCCGCGAGUUCAGCUCCUGGCAGCGCCGGCCCUCGCCUGUUCCUGCCACGUUAGCACGCAGUAACUUUCCGUGCCGGCCCCUCCCGGCGGCGGCGAGGCUGGGGCGGGGCUCCGCGCUGUCCCCCUCAGCGCCGCAGCCACCGCCGGCCAGCGCCAGGGUGCCUGGCAACCGCUGCUUCUCAGGCCGACCGAGAAGCCGCACGUCCCAGCCCUGGGGCGCGAUCCAGCUGAAGCGAAUUGGUGGCGGAGCCUGGUACCUUCCAGGGCCCUUGAACCGCAGCGCGGCACUUGGGGAGCUUGCUGUGCUCCCAAGAGCUUCCCGUCUUGGAAGGCACUGCCACCAACCAG
Molecule: long non-coding RNA, 1370 nt
Organism: Manis pentadactyla (Chinese pangolin)
Lineage: Eukaryota; Metazoa; Chordata; Mammalia; Pholidota; Manidae
Exons: 2
Source: RefSeq, a predicted model, not a curated record